CUAAGGAAAAAAACGGUUGAAGGAAGAAAGGGGGCGAAAGCGACAGAUAAGCAGGGAAGCGAAAGCGAAAGGAGAAGGCAGACGGAUCGACGGCCGAACCAAAAGCGGGAGAAAACAAGCAAGUAAAAAAGCAGGAAAAAGUGAAGUAUUAUUACAAUGCAGGAAAAAGUUAAGUAUUGUUCCUCCCGUACAAAAAAAAAACAAACACCCGAUACGGGCCGACUAGUCAAGGGGAGGGUCCACGUAGUCGGGGAAGUCAGCCUCGAGGUCCUUCUCCUCACUGUCGCUCACGUCCACGGGAGGUUGAAAGGUAGGGGCGCCGGCCUUUUCCCAAUCGGCAAACUCUUUGCAGCUCCGGGGCACCACGGCGCGCGAAAGGGGCGGGUAGACAAGCGAGCACAUCUUGCGCCCGUGCACGUAACCCUUCCAGAAGCCGAGACGCUUCGAGUCGGCUAGCAGUACGGCGUGAUCCGCUUGCAUACCAGCCAAGCGACUCUUGAAGUCGGGAAUAAACUCCUCGAUAAAAGAGGCCUGCGCGGCGUCUGCCCGAGCCUUCUCUUCC
Molecule: long non-coding RNA, 562 nt
Filed under: Zostera marina
Lineage: Eukaryota; Viridiplantae; Streptophyta; Magnoliopsida; Alismatales; Zosteraceae
Description: long non-coding RNA (ZMAR_LNC004839)
Source: RNAcentral